This 253-nucleotide ribosomal RNA is filed under the name uncultured bacterium. Its description in RNAcentral is "partial 16S ribosomal RNA". It matches the Rfam family "Bacterial small subunit ribosomal RNA", at positions 524 to 776 of the family's 1533-position model. The record is from RNAcentral.
UACGGGGGGGGCAAGCGUUGUUCGGAAUUACUGGGCGUAAAGGGCUCGUAGGCGGCCAACUAAGUCCGACGUGAAAUCCCCAGGCUUAACCUGGGAACUGCGUCGGAUACUGGAUGGCUUGAAUCCGGGAGAGGGAUGCAGAAUUCCAGGUGUAGCGGUGAAAUGCGUAGAUAUCUGGAGGAAUACCGGUGGCGAAGGCGGCAUCCUGGACCGGCAUUGACGCUGAAGCGCGAAAGCUAGGGGAGCAAGCGGG